GAUGAACGCUGGCGGCGUGCCUAAUACGUGCAAGUCGAGCGAACAGACGAGGAGCUUGCUCCUCUGACGUUAGCGGCGGACGGGUGAGUAACACGUGGAUAACCUACCUAUAAGACUGGGAUAACUUCGGGAAACCGGAGCUAAUACCGGAUAAUAUAUUGAACCGCAUGGUUCAAUAGUGAAAGACGGUUUUGCUGUCACUUAUAGAUGGAUCCGCGCCGCAUUAGCUAGUUGGUAAGGUAACGGCUUACCAAGGCAACGAUGCGUAGCCGACCUGAGAGGGUGAUCGGCCACCCUGGAACUGAGACACGGUCCAGACUCCUACGGGAGGCAGCAGUAGGGAAUCUUCCGCAGUGGGCGAAAGCCUGACGGAGCAACGCCGCGUGAGUGAUGAAGGUCUUCGGAUCGUAAAACUCUGUUAUUAGGGAAGAACAAAUGUGUAAGUAACUAUGCACGUCUUGACGGUACCUAAUCAGAAAGCCACGGCUAACUACGUG
Molecule: ribosomal RNA, 497 nt
Filed under: uncultured bacterium
Lineage: Bacteria
Description: partial 16S ribosomal RNA
Rfam family: Bacterial small subunit ribosomal RNA
Source: RNAcentral